GACGAACGCUGGCGGCGUGCUUAACACAUGCAAGUCGAACGGUAAGGCCCUUCGGGGUACACGAGUGGCGAACGGGUGAGUAACACGUGGGUGAUCUGCCCAGCACUUCGGGAUAAGCCUGGGAAACUGGGUCUAAUACCGGAUAGGACCCUGGGAUGCAUGUCCUGGGGUGGAAAGCUUUUGCGGUGUGGGAUGGGCCCGCGGCCUAUCAGCUUGUUGGUGGGGUGAUGGCCUACCAAGGCGACGAAGGGUAGCCGGCCUGAGGGGGUGAACGGCCACACUGGGACUGAGAUACGGCCCAGACUCCUACGGGAGGCAGCAGUGGGGAAUAUUGCACAAUGGGCGCAAGCCUGAUGCAGCGACGCCGCGUGAGGGAUGACGGCCUUCGGGUUGUAAACCUCUUUCAGCACCGACGAAGCGCAAGUGACGGUAGGUGCAGAAGAAGGACCGGCCAACUACGUGCCAGCAGCCGCAGUAA
RNAcentral lists this ribosomal RNA (478 nucleotides) under uncultured bacterium. RNAcentral describes it as "partial 16S ribosomal RNA". It matches the Rfam family "Bacterial small subunit ribosomal RNA", at positions 28 to 523 of the family's 1533-position model. The record is from RNAcentral.